AACCCACUCCUCCUAGUCCUCCUCUUCUGAUUGGUUGCUUGUACACUUUUUACAUCUUUAUGGCAUGGAUUCUUCUGUCCACAUGACUUUUUAAAGCGGCCAAAACCGCUUCUCUUUUAUUCAAAAUUAAAAUGAUUUAGAUGUUGUUAAUAAUCAAACAACAUUCAGAGAGACAGAGCCACUUUUCUACAUAUCAGUUUAAAACAACAAAAAAAUAGUCUUUUCAUUGUUUGCUUUUUGCUGAGGCAAUGAAAGAAGGUAAACAAAGUAAAUUAACUUUACAGAGACAGUCCCUGGGCUGAAAAAUUCCAGGUCCACAACUGCAUCAGACCUCUAAUAGGGCAGAUCUCAAAUACUUCAUCCCCUUUCAAGAUAUAAAGCAUCAUCAUCUUCAUCAUGAAUAUUCAGAUCUCUAUGAUGCCAGGAUUUAUGCUCAGGUGUCUGUAUUUAUACAGAAGUGGCAUGAAACAGUUGACUUUCAGGAAAUGGCCCAAGCAUUGACGCUUAUCAAAUUCAGGAAAGAGGGGAGUUUACAAAACAAAACUGACUCCGUCAAAAAUGUCCUUGGCUCAUGAGGAAAAAAAUGAUACCCAGUUGGUCAAAAAGUCACAUUUUUGUGUGGUUGUAAUUCUUAUGAAAAAAGCAGCAAUAAUCCUUUAAAAUAUGACUUUCAAAUAUCCUUUUGAGAAUAUUGAAAUCAAUUAAACAAUAAAUAUAUUCUCAUUUAUAAAAGAAAUCA
RNAcentral lists this long non-coding RNA (739 nucleotides) under Monodelphis domestica (gray short-tailed opossum). Its description in RNAcentral is "lncRNA (ENSMODG00000030894.2)". Lineage: Eukaryota; Metazoa; Chordata; Mammalia; Didelphimorphia; Didelphidae. The record is from RNAcentral.